RNAcentral lists this ribosomal RNA (253 nucleotides) under uncultured bacterium. RNAcentral's name for it is "partial 16S ribosomal RNA". It matches the Rfam family "Bacterial small subunit ribosomal RNA", at positions 524 to 776 of the family's 1533-position model. The record is from RNAcentral.
GACAGAGGUGCCGAGCGUUAGGCGGAAUCACUGGGCUUAAAGCGUGUGUAGGCGGAUCGUUAAGUACCUUGUGAAAUCCCACAGCUUAACCGUGGAACUGCUUGGUAUACUGGCGAUCUUGAGCCACCUAGGGGCAACCGGAACAAAUGGUGGAGCGGUGAAAUGCGUUGAUAUCAGGAGGAACACCCAUGGCGAAGGCAGCUAACUGGGCAUUAUCUGACGCUGAGGCGCGAAAGCGUGGGUAGCAAACAGG